Molecule: ribosomal RNA, 253 nt
Filed under: uncultured bacterium
Lineage: Bacteria
Description: partial 16S ribosomal RNA
Rfam family: Bacterial small subunit ribosomal RNA
Source: RNAcentral
UGCGUAGGGUGCAAGCGUUAAUCGGAAUUACUGGGCGUAAAGCGUGCGCAGGCGGUUUUGUAAGUCUGUCGUGAAAUCCCCGGGCUCAACCUGGGAAUUGCGAUGGAGACUGCAAGGCUGGAGUCUGGCAGAGGGGGGUAGAAUUCCACGUGUAGCAGUGAAAUGCGUAGAGAUGUGGAGGAACACCGAUGGCGAAGGCAGCCCCCUGGGUCAAGACUGACGCUCAUGCACGAAAGCGUGGGGAGCAAACAGG